AUCUGCUUUCAGGCUGGAUUUAUAACAAGCAGAACUUUUAAAACGGUAUGAUUUUAAAAUAAAAUUAAAAAAAAAACACGCUGAGAUCUUUCCAUAGCUUUGGCUUCUGGGAGUUGAAAGCGCAGGUACGUGCUACAUCUUCUGGAAACCUAACCCUCGCACGCCAAGCGGGAGGCUCUUUUGGUCAAAUACUCCCAGGACUUAUGCUUGAGUUCUGAAAUAAGUGAAAGCAGAUGCCAUUCCUGUGCGACAUAGCUAACUGACCGCAGCCCAGAAAGUUCUGUUGGCUAGCUGUGUGGGGGCUGUCUUAAGCCCUGAAAACAUUCUGCAUCAGAACUCAGCUUCAGAAAGGGGUUCCUGCUCUCCUGUCUGCCCUGGAGAUAGUCACGCAUGACAGCUUGUGGGCUGACUGAGCAUUUAGGCAGCUGCUUUUCCUCUCUCCCUCCAGGAGGAAAAUAGAGCAAAAAGGUAGAACUUACUUCCACACCCAAGUUUCUCCUGAAAGCACUGUGCCUGUUUUGUUUGCUACACAUCUUGGUGCUCCAGCAGAUUACCAGUGAAACAUGCCGACUCUCACCAAACCACCCCAUGUUGCCAAAUCUUCUCUCUUGGCCCUGAUGAUGUGCAACUUAAAACCAAGGUCCAGGUUGACUGCACAGCAGAGUUUACUGUUCGCUCUCUCGCUCUCUCUCCUCUCUCUUUUUUUCUGUAAGCCCAAUAAAUCUGCCCUAUCACGUCAUUGAGGCCACAAGGAAAUGUAAUCCUGCCAAGUGUGGGAGUUAACAAAAACUGCCAAAGUCUUAAGGUUGCAGAGAGAGCAAGAACCACUUUCUGGGUUACGCAUGUCUACUGUGUAUGUGCAGGGGUGCCAUGUGUAUGUACCGCGUGUGUGUGUGGGUACUGUGUGUGUGCAUGGAUGCUAUGUGGAUUCACCAUGCACUACCAUGUGUGCAUGAGCACCAUGUGUGUACACUGAGAGUGUAUGUGGCUAGCAGGUGUGUGUACUCUGUGUACCUGAGCACUGUGCGUACCUGUGCACUGAGCCUAUAUAUGGGCAUGUGUUUAUAGCAUGUAUGCAUGUGUGCUAUGUGUAUAUACCAUGCACUUGCACACAUAUACUGUGUGUGCAGCACACCAGAUGCCACAGAUAUGGUGGCGGGAGGGUCAAUGACAGGGAACUGGGGGGAGGCAGGUGUGAGGCAGGCCUGCUUGGGAACAGGUAAAUCACUUAAGGAUGCAGUGCUUUUCAUCUGCUUUGCUGCUCUUUUCCUCUUAAGCAGCAUGCGCUGAGAUUGCAGAAACCUGAAAGAUAGGGAAAGUGUGUAUCCCAUCUCCCCUUCCUGCCUGACUCUCAAGUAAGUUUUCUUUAAGUAUCUUUUUUCUUCAGCUUCAGGAAAAAGAGGACCUUAGAACUGAAGGAGCAAGAUUCCAACAUCACACUGUUUUUGUUAGCUGUGUGUGUGUGUUUCCUGUGUAUCCAAAAGACAGAGGAGAUGAAAAAGCAAAAGAAAAGAAACGAGGAAUCAGAUUGGAAAGAAGGUUUCUCCAGGACGUCACCUGUAUGAGGGCUCAAGCCUGGAAGAAGCCUUAGGACGUGGGGGAAAUGUCUAACGUGGAGUCCACCUGCUGAGCAGGACCGGGUGUGAAGGAAGAAGCUUUGUUCUGAUUCCUCAUGGCCCAGCCACCCCUCGCCUGAGCUGAGCCUGGCCACAGGGCCCGCCUGCAGGAAGGGCUGGCCCAUGGCUUCACACUGGGCUCAGGCUGCGCUAAGAGCCCCGGGUGAGGACCUCCAAGCCCAGGAAGCCUCAGUUGGCCAAAGUGCUAGAUGCGUGUGGUCUGCUUUCAUCCCCGCUUCCCUCAGAGCUUGCAUUUUCCAAAUUCAAGAGAGGCUCCACCUUCAAGAAGACCGGCCUGUCCCUGUUAUUUAUGUGUCCCCCUACCAUAUCUCCCUUUGUUCUGCAGAGCGGUACGCAUAAAAAGCUUUUGGGGA
Molecule: long non-coding RNA, 1990 nt
Filed under: Homo sapiens (human)
Lineage: Eukaryota; Metazoa; Chordata; Mammalia; Primates; Hominidae
Description: HSALNT0299206
Source: RNAcentral